This 253-nucleotide ribosomal RNA is filed under the name uncultured bacterium. RNAcentral describes it as "partial 16S ribosomal RNA". It matches the Rfam family "Bacterial small subunit ribosomal RNA", at positions 524 to 776 of the family's 1533-position model. The record is from RNAcentral.
UACAGAGGUCUCAAGCGUUGUUCGGAUUCAUUGGGCGUAAAGGGCGCGUAGGCUGCGGGGCAAGUCGGGUGUGAAAUCUCAGAGCUCAACUCUGAAACUGCACUCGAUACUGCUUUGCUCGAGGACUGGAGAGGAGAUUGGAAUUCACGGUGCAGCAGUGAAAUGCGUAGAUAUCGUGAGGAAGACCAGUGGCGAAGGCGGAUCUCUGGACAGUUCCUGACGCUGAGGCGCGAAGGCCAGGGGAGCAAACGGG